RNAcentral lists this ribosomal RNA (1023 nucleotides) under uncultured bacterium. RNAcentral describes it as "bacterial SSU rRNA". It matches the Rfam family "Bacterial small subunit ribosomal RNA", at positions 60 to 1062 of the family's 1533-position model. The record is from RNAcentral.
AGUCGUGCGGUAACAGACAUAAAGAUUUAGCUUGCUAAAUCCGGUGCUGACGAGCGGCGAACGGGUGAGUAACACGUAGGAAUCUACCCAGUAGCGGGGGAUAGCCCAGGGAAACUUGGAUUAAUACCGCAUACGCCCUAAGGGGAAAAGAAGGCCUCUCUUUGAAGCUUUCACUAUUGGAUGAGCCUGCGUAAGAUUAGCUUGUUGGUGGGGUAAAGGCCUACCAAGGCAACGAUCUUUAGCUGGUCUGAGAGGACGAUCAGCCACAUUGGGACUGAGACACGGCCCAGACUUCUACGGAAGGCAGCAGUUAGGAAUAUUGGACAAUGGGGGCAACCCUGAUCCAGCUAUACCGCGUGUGUGAAGAAGGCCCUAGGGUUGUAAAGCACUUUAAGCAGGGAAGAAGUAUAUUAAGUUAAUACCUUAAUAUAUUGACGUUACCUGAAGAAUAAGGACCGGCUAACUCCGUGCCAGCAGCCGCGGUAAUACGGAGGGUCCAAGCGUUAAUCGGAAUUACUGGGCGUAAAGCGCGCGUAGGCGGUUUAAUAAGUUGUAUGUGAAAGCCCUGGGCUCAACCUAGGAACUGCAUACAAAACUAUUAAGCUUGAGGACGAGAGAGGAGAGUAGAAUUUCAGGUGUAGCGGUGAAAUGCGUAGAUAUCUGAAGGAAUACCAAUGGCGAAGGCAGCUCUCUGGCUCGUUUCUGACGCUGAGGUGCGAAAGCGUGGGUAGCAAACAGGAUUAGAUACCCUGGUAGUCCACGCCGUAAACGAUGAUAACUAGCCGUUGGGCAGAUUUAACUGUUCAGUGGCACAGCUAACGCAUUAAGUUAUCCGCCUGGGGAGUACGGCCGCAAGGCUAAACUCAAAUGAAUUGACGGGGGCCCGCACAAGUGGUGGAGCAUGUGGUUUAAUUCGAUGCAACGCGAGAACCUUACCAACCUUUGAAAUCCAGAGAAGUCACAGAGAUGGAGAUGUGCCUUCGGGAACUCUGUGACAGGUGUUGCAUGGCUGUCGUCAGCUCG